AACACAGUGACUCGUUAGAACUCCUAGACUAGUCAGAUAAGCCCUGGCCCUGGCCCUGGCCCUUGCCUUCACCCUUAUAACAUUGGCCAAAGCUUGGGCAUGCUUUCCUGGGUACAUCUUCCACCCUUUCUAAAGCUCCUCCCCAGUCCUUCCCAACAUGACUGCUUGUUCUGUGGGCACUUACAAACAGCAUGGCUCUUUCUCUUCUUCUCUGUCUCCCUACAGCUUGCCUACAUUUUUUUUUCUUAAACUCUAAUAAAAUUGUCCUUAAGCUUCCUUUGACUUUGUUUAUUUAUUUAUUUAUUUAUUUAUUUAUUUAUUUAUAUUAAUGAAGCCAAGAACUCCAAAUUUCUUCAGUGACACGGCCACAUUGAAUAAUUUUUUUUUCAUCUUUUUGCUAUUGUGUGUUUAAUUGGCCUAACAAGGAUGGGUUGCCAAAAUUGGUAGCUGUAUGGGGUUCACUCAAGCUAUAACCCUAAUGACAGAUGUAAGGCCUGGGUGAAGGUAAAGAUGUCCCCCUUCUUAGGGCUCUUUUAAAUACAAGAAAUUUCCCUGUAACAGUGCAUGGUGUCUUACACUUCAGUCCCAAAUUUGGUGUGUGGUGGGUUGAAUGAGAAUGGCCCCCACAGACUUGAACAUUUGAAUGUUUGGUUCCCAGCUGGUGAAGUUGUUUGGGAAGGAUUAGGAAAUGUAGCCUUGGAGGAGGUGUGUGUGGGGUGUAGGCAUUGGUUUCAAGAGAGUCAUGCCUUUCCCAUUGUCUCUCUGUCUCCUUGCAGAUCCAGAUGUGAGCUCUCAGCUACUGCUCCAGUGCCAUGGCUACCAGCUAUUAUGCUCCUGCCAUGAUGGUCAUGAGCGCAGACCUCUCAAUCUUUGGGUCACAAAUAAACUCUCUUCUGAGCUGAUUGCUGAGCUGGGAAGAACCUUGCCUCUGAUCUACAGCAGCCUAGGAUUUUGGCAGUGGAACAGGAUCCUAGCACAGAGUCCACUUCCUGUACAGGAAUGAGUUGACACGAAUGGCAAGAGCCAUUGUGGAGGAUGCUCUGUCAUCUGCAUCUUUCACUUACUAGAGUGAUGGGAAGAACCUGCUCCAGAUCCAUAUGCUUUUGCCCUGACUCUUGUGACUGGAAGGCAUCUUUGACUUUCCUGAGCUUAUGGAAGUUCUGCCCAAGCUCUGCCUUUGGAUUCACACUGUACUGCCCUUGCCAGGGUAUGCCUGUGUCCAAGCAACCUUCUGUCUGGGGACAGUAUAGCAUCACAGCCCACUCCAGUGACCUCGAUUUAAGCUGCCAAGACCCUAUUCCCAAAUCUGGUCUCAUGUCAAAGUACUGCACCUAGAAUUUCAGCACAGUUGCUGUGCUUCCUUCUCCCCAUGUCUGUGUUAAGAGCAGGCUCAGCAAACCUACAGCUGCACCACAGCAGGGACUAAUAAAGCCCAGUCAAUGCGU
RNAcentral lists this long non-coding RNA (1445 nucleotides) under Mus caroli (Ryukyu mouse). RNAcentral describes it as "predicted gene 14280 (MGP_CAROLIEiJ_G0003258.1)". Lineage: Eukaryota; Metazoa; Chordata; Mammalia; Rodentia; Muridae. The record is from RNAcentral.